UACGUAGGGGGCUAGCGUUGUCCGGAUUUAUUGGGCGUAAAGAGCGUGUAGGCGGCCAGGUAGGUCUGGUGUGAAAACUCGAGGCUUAACCUCGAGAUGUCAUCGGAAACCAUCUGGCUAGAGUCCGGAAGAGGAGAGUGGAAUUCCUGGUGUGGCGGUGAAAUGCGCAGAUAUCAGGAAGAACACCAAUGGCGAAAGCAGCUCUCUGGGACGGUACUGACGCUGAGACGCGAAAGCGUGGGGAGCGAACAGG
This 253-nucleotide ribosomal RNA is filed under the name uncultured bacterium. Its description in RNAcentral is "partial 16S ribosomal RNA". It matches the Rfam family "Bacterial small subunit ribosomal RNA", at positions 524 to 776 of the family's 1533-position model. The record is from RNAcentral.